GUUUUAUUUGAGGUUAUAGCUCAUGCUACAUUAAUAUUUAACAUUUUGCUGUUUUUGUACAACCAGUGGAAGAGGUGAUUUCACUUUUUCUCUUCUUCAGAUGUCUGCUUUUGCUUUGUUUCUGAUUCUGAUAACACUUUCUGCUCGUAGAUGACUUGAGAAAGCAAACCCACCAAGAUCACUCCAAGAACUGCACUCUUUCCCAGGUCAGACGGUGAAGAGAUCAAGGCAUUCGUAAUCCCAACUACCACGAGGCCCAUAAGUGCAAGGUAGAUAUUCUUUCUAGUAUUUGACUCAGCAAUUUCUUUAUUGAGUUGCUUCAUCUUCUCUGUUUCCUUCUUAGCUUUUGCUUUAUCCACCGGUUGUUUUUGCCCUAAGUUCUUAAAGAAAAGCCCUUCAUUUUUCUCCUCCUCCAUUUGGUCUACGAAAUCUGCCAGCUUCUUCUCGUUCUCUUCAAUCUCCUGUUUGUUUAACUCUACUGAUUCCUCAAAAGCUUGCAUCCGGCUCUCU
This 510-nucleotide unclassified non-coding RNA is filed under the name Hevea brasiliensis (rubber tree). Lineage: Eukaryota; Viridiplantae; Streptophyta; Magnoliopsida; Malpighiales; Euphorbiaceae. The record is from RNAcentral.